GAUGAACGCUGGCGGCGUGCCUAAUACAUGCAAGUCGAGCGAACAGACGAGGAGCUUGCUCCUCUGACGUUAGCGGCGGACGGGUGAGUAACACGUGUAUAACCUACCUAUAAGACUGGGAUAACUUUGGGAAACCGGAGCUAAUACCGGAUAAUAUAUUGAACCGCAUGGUUCAAUAGUGAAAGACGGUUUUGCUGUCACUUAUAGAUGGAUCCGCGCCGCAUUAGCUAGUUGGUAAGGUAACGGCCUACCAAGGCGACGAUGCGUAGCCGACCUGAGAGGGUGGUCGGCCACCCUGGAACUGAGACACGGUCCAGACUCCUACGGGAGGCAGCAGUAGGGAAUCGUCCGCAAUGGGCGAAAGCCUGACGGAGCAACGCCGCGUGAGUGAUGAAGGUCUUCGGAUCGUAAAACUCUGUUAUUAGGGAAGAACAAAUGUGUAAGUAACUAUGCACGUCUUGACGGUACCUAAUCAGAAAGCCACGGCUAACUACGUG
Molecule: ribosomal RNA, 497 nt
Filed under: uncultured bacterium
Lineage: Bacteria
Description: partial 16S ribosomal RNA
Rfam family: Bacterial small subunit ribosomal RNA
Source: RNAcentral